Podarcis lilfordi (Lilford's wall lizard) is the source of this 257-nucleotide non-coding RNA. Lineage: Eukaryota; Metazoa; Chordata; Lepidosauria; Squamata; Lacertidae. The record is from the annotation of a GenBank genome assembly.
ACCAUUUUUGAGUGAAUUGCAGAACGUCAGAUUUUUGCUGAAAUUGUGUUCGCGCGGCUUAGGGAUUUUUUAAAAAAACAAUAUUCCGCAAGUUCAGACAUCGAGGGCUAAUUCUUUUUCCGAUUAUAGAAACCCUUCUGUUUCCACCAAAAACAGUGGGAAAUCUGUGUGAAAUCUUUUUUUGAAAAAAAAACCCUAACCCACGGGCCCACAAUUUUUCAAAAAAUCUGACUUUCUGUGAUUCAUUCAAAAAUGGU